AGGACGAACGCUGGCGGCGUGCUUAACACAUGCAAGUCGAGCGGAAAGGCCCUUCGGGGUACUCGAGCGGCGAACGGGUGAGUAACACGUGGGCAACCUGCCCCUAGCUCUGGGAUAACUCCGGGAAACCGGGGCUAAUACCGGAUACGAUCUUCCAUGGCAUCUCGGAAGAUGGAAAGUUUUUCGGCUAGGGAUGGGCCCGCGGCCUAUCAGCUUGUUGGUGAGGUAACGGCCCACCAAGGCGACGACGGGUAGCCGGCCUGAGACGGGCGACCGGCCAACGACGUCGGGACUAGAGACACGGCCCAGACUCCGUACGGGAGGCAGCAGUAGGGGAAUAUUGCGCAAGUGGCGAAAGCCUGACGCGAGCGACGACGCGGAGAGGGAAGUCGGAAGGUCCCGUUU
This 405-nucleotide ribosomal RNA is filed under the name uncultured soil bacterium. RNAcentral's name for it is "bacterial SSU rRNA". It matches the Rfam family "Bacterial small subunit ribosomal RNA", at positions 26 to 428 of the family's 1533-position model. The record is from RNAcentral.